This 324-nucleotide ribosomal RNA is filed under the name uncultured eukaryote. Its description in RNAcentral is "partial 18S ribosomal RNA". It matches the Rfam family "Eukaryotic small subunit ribosomal RNA", at positions 1470 to 1796 of the family's 1831-position model. The record is from RNAcentral.
CCCUUAGAUGUUCUGGGCUGCACGCGCGCUACACUGAUGCGAUCAACAAGUUUUUCCUAUGUCGAUAGACACGGGUAAUCUUUUGAACUCGCAUCGUGAUGGGGAUAGAUUAUUGUAAUUAUUAAUCUUCAACGAGGAAUUCCUAGUAGGUGCAAAUCAUCAGUUUGCAUCGAUUACGUCCCUGCCCUUUGUACACACCGCCCGUCGCUGCUACCGAUUGGUUGAUCUGGUGAAUUAUUCGGACUGCCGGCUGAAGGGGUUUCCUCAUCUGCCAGCGGAAAGUCUUGUUAACCCUAUCAACUAGAGGAGGCAGAAGUCGUAACA